This 1512-nucleotide ribosomal RNA is filed under the name Klebsiella pneumoniae. RNAcentral describes it as "SSU rRNA". It matches the Rfam family "Bacterial small subunit ribosomal RNA". The record is from RNAcentral. Lineage: Bacteria; Pseudomonadati; Pseudomonadota; Gammaproteobacteria; Enterobacterales; Enterobacteriaceae.
UUAAAUUGAAGAGUUUGAUCAUGGCUCAGAUUGAACGCUGGCGGCAGGCCUAACACAUGCAAGUCGAGCGGUAGCACAGAGAGCUUGCUCUCGGGUGACGAGCGGCGGACGGGUGAGUAAUGUCUGGGAAACUGCCUGAUGGAGGGGGAUAACUACUGGAAACGGUAGCUAAUACCGCAUAAUGUCGCAAGACCAAAGUGGGGGACCUUCGGGCCUCAUGCCAUCAGAUGUGCCCAGAUGGGAUUAGCUAGUAGGUGGGGUAACGGCUCACCUAGGCGACGAUCCCUAGCUGGUCUGAGAGGAUGACCAGCCACACUGGAACUGAGACACGGUCCAGACUCCUACGGGAGGCAGCAGUGGGGAAUAUUGCACAAUGGGCGCAAGCCUGAUGCAGCCAUGCCGCGUGUGUGAAGAAGGCCUUCGGGUUGUAAAGCACUUUCAGCGGGGAGGAAGGCGGUGAGGUUAAUAACCUCAUCGAUUGACGUUACCCGCAGAAGAAGCACCGGCUAACUCCGUGCCAGCAGCCGCGGUAAUACGGAGGGUGCAAGCGUUAAUCGGAAUUACAUGGGCGUAAAGCGCACGCAGGCGGUCUGUCAAGUCUGAUGUGAAAUCCCCGGGCUCAACCUGGGAACUGCAUUCGAAACUGGCAGGCUAGAGUCUUGUAGAGGGGGGUAGAAUUCCAGGUGUAGCGGUGAAAUGCGUAGAGAUCUGGAGGAAUACCGGUGGCGAAGGCGGCCCCCUGGACAAAGACUGACGCUCAGGUGCGAAAGCGUGGGGAGCAAACAGGAUUAGAUACCCUGGUAGUCCACGCCGUAAACGAUGUCGAUUUGGAGGUUGUGCCCUUGAGGCGUGGCUUCCGGAGCUAACGCGUUAAAUCGACCGCCUGGGGAGUACGGCCGCAAGGUUAAAACUCAAAUGAAUUGACGGGGGCCCGCACAAGCGGUGGAGCAUGUGGUUUAAUUCGAUGCAACGCGAAGAACCUUACCUGGUCUUGACAUCCACAGAACUUUCCAGAGAUGGAUUGGUGCCUUCGGGAACUGUGAGACAGGUGCUGCAUGGCUGUCGUCAGCUCGUGUUGUGAAAUGUUGGGUUAAGUCCCGCAACGAGCGCAACCCUUAUCCUUUGUUGCCAGCGGUUAGGCCGGGAACUCAAAGGAGACUGCCAGUGAUAAACUGGAGGAAGGUGGGGAUGACGUCAAGUCAUCAUGGCCCUUACGACCAGGGCUACACACGUGCUACAAUGGCAUAUACAAAGAGAAGCGACCUCGCGAGAGCAAGCGGACCUCAUAAAGUAUGUCGUAGUCCGGAUUGGAGUCUGCAACUCGACUCCAUGAAGUCGGAAUCGCUAGUAAUCGUAGAUCAGAAUGCUACGGUGAAUACGUUCCCGGGCCUUGUACACACCGCCCGUCACACCAUGGGAGUGGGUUGCAAAAGAAGUAAGUAGCUUAACCUUCGGGAGGGCGCUUACCACUUUGUGAUUCAUGACUGGGGUGAAGUCGUAACAAGGUAACCG